ACUCCUCACAAUAACCGUAUCCCAUUCAGAGACACCACAGCUCUCUGUGAGGGAUAAAUAAGAUUUAGCUGGCAGAGCUAGAUAAUGAUCCACUCAGCAUGAGAGCUCAGUGCUCCUCAUCUCCAUCUCAUCUCCUGCCUCUCUCACUGUGCUGCUGUGACGUCAGUAUUGUACUUCACUAAUGAAGAGGACUUCAGUAAAGAUCUAUACUAGAACAUUCUCACAACAGGCAUAUUCUUGCUCUAGGGGGGGUUUUCAUAUCAAAGCACAGAUAAACGGAUAAAUCCAAGUGUGUGUGUGACUAACUGUGUGUGUGAGAUUCAAAGAGCUGAGCAGGCAGCCUAUGUCUUUGGUGUACUAUUGCUUUCAUUUAAGCCCGGGAGAGAGAAGCUAGCCUGCCCGGGAGAGAGAAGCUAGCCUGCCCGGGAGAGAGAAGCUAGCCUGCCCGGGAGAGAGAAGAUAGCCUGCCCCCCUGAGGCAUGUGACAACACAAUGGUUUAAUGAUCUGUGUCUGUUCUGCUGCUGCUAGUUUGUGAGACUGCUGCAGCACAGAGUGCUGAAUACAGGCAGUCAAGCUGGCCUGGCCAGUAGAAAUACACUGUAAGUCAGUGUUUCUCAGAGUGCUGAAUACAGGCAGGCAGCAGAUUCUCUGGCCUGGCCAGGAGAAAUACACUGUAAGUCAGUGUUUCUCAGAGUGCUGAAUACAGGCAGUUCAGCAAGCAGCAGAUUCUCUGGCCUGGCCAGGAGAAAUACACUGUAAGUCAGUGUUUCUCAGAGUGCUGAAUACAGGCAGGCAGCAAGCAGCAGAUUCUCUGGCCUGGCCAGUAGAAAUACACUGUAAGUCAGUGUUUCUCAGAGUGCUGAAUACAGGCAGGCAGCAGAUUCUCUGGCCUGGCCAGGAGAGAUACAUUAUGUCAGUGUUUCUCAGAGUGCUGAAUACAGGCAGGCAGCAGAUUCUCUGGCCUGGCCAGGAGAGAUACAUUAUGUCAGUGUUUCUCAGCCUGUUCCUCUGGGAGUGGGAGAUCCCUAGUUGUUCCACCACUAGUCAACUAGCCCAAUGCUCAAGCCCUUGACUAGUUGUGUGACGUGAGCUAGCUAGGUCAAAAAUGUGGAGCGGCAGGAUGUUUCCAAGGAACACAGAUGAAAUGGAGAAACCCACUGCUACAUAGACCUAACAGGAAUGUGGUGGUCGCCCCAGCAGUGCUGUCCCAUCCAGUCACGUAGACCUGAGUUGAGGAGAAACACCCUGAAAGUGAUCUGUAAGGCAAGCCUUCCUGGCCUGCUGGGGCCUCAGUCAGUGGAAUGGCAGAAGUGUGCUUUACUGCCUUCCUUGGAGAUGACCUGAGGUCAGGUCUAACUGUAGCGGAUGAACAGAGGUCAGGUCUAACUGUAGCGGAUGAACAGAGGUCAGGUCUAACUGUAGCGGAUGAACAGAGGUCAGGUCUAACUGUAGCGGAUGAACAGAGGUCAGGUCUAACUGUAGCGGAUGAACAGAGGUCAGGUCUAACUGUAGCGGAUGAACAGAGGUCAGGUCUAACUGUAGCGGAUGAACAGAGGUCAGGUCUAACUGUAGCGGAUGAACAGAGGGUCAGGUCUAACUGUAGCGGAUGAACAGAGGUCAGGUCCAACUGUAGCGGAUGAACAGAGGUCAGGUCCAACUGUAGCGGAUGAACAGAGGUCAGGUCCAACUGUAGCGGAUGAACAGAGGUCAGGUCCAACUGUAGCGGAUGAACAGAGAGUCAGGUCCAACUGUAGCGGAUGAACAGAGAGUCAGGUCCAACUGUAGCGGAUGAACAGAGAGUCAGGUCCAACUGUAGCGGAUGAACAGAGGUCAGGUCUAACUGUAGCGGAUGAACAGAGGUCAGGUCUAACUGGAGCGGAUGAACAGAGGUCAGGUCUAACUGGAGCGGAUGAACAGACAUGGUUGGAUUUCCUGUUCAGACUACUGGUUGUUUCCUUGUCUUCUGCACCUGUUUUGGUCAAUAGUGAACAUACUCUCCCCCCCCCCACACACUCACACACACACACACUCCCCCACACACACACACUCCCCCACCACACACACAGCGUUAAUCCCUGGCUUCUGAUCUGCGUGUAGUCUUUCAUGUAAAGCCAGCCCUGUGAUGCCUGGUAACCCGAUACAGCCGCUAUUGAUGGUGAUGCUGUUGAUAUUCAGGAGAGGAGAGCAGCCUGCCAUGUUGCUCUCCCUGGUUGGUCCUGGGAUGCUGCUGUGUGGUCUGGGCUGAUAGGUGGAAGGCCCAUUAUCAAAAAUAUUGUUUGGCUUUGGAUGAUUUAAACAGUCUGGGCCUGGGCUAUAGGGCCUGGGCUAUAGGGCCUGGGCUAUAGGGCCUGGGCUAUAGGGCCUGGG
Molecule: long non-coding RNA, 2368 nt
Filed under: Salmo salar (Atlantic salmon)
Lineage: Eukaryota; Metazoa; Chordata; Actinopteri; Salmoniformes; Salmonidae
Description: lncRNA (ENSSSAG00000099480.1)
Source: RNAcentral